RNAcentral lists this ribosomal RNA (2909 nucleotides) under Burkholderia mallei 2002721280. RNAcentral describes it as "23S ribosomal RNA". Lineage: Bacteria; Pseudomonadati; Pseudomonadota; Betaproteobacteria; Burkholderiales; Burkholderiaceae. The record is from RNAcentral.
CGGACGACGUGCCCGCCGGCGGCCGUCGCCGCCGGCGCAUCCGAACCCCGAGGAGAGACGACUGUGAACAAUGCCGAUCUGCACGCCCGCAAGAACGCCGCGACGCCGCGUGGCGUCGGCGUGAUGUGCGAUUUCUACGCCGCGCGCGCCGAGAACGCCGAGCUGUGGGAUGUCGAGGGCCGCCGCUUCAUCGAUUUCGCGGCCGGCAUCGCGGUCCUGAACACGGGCCAUCGCCAUCCGAGGAUCGUGAAGGCGAUCGCCGACCAGCUCGGGCAAUUCACGCAUACCGCGUAUCAGAUCGUGCCGUACGCGUCGUACGUCGAACUCGCCGAGAAGAUCAACGCGCGCGCGCCGAUCGCGCAGCCGAAGAAGACCGCGUUCUUCACGACGGGCGCGGAAGCGGUCGAGAACGCGGUGAAGAUCGCGCGCGCCUACACCGGCCGGCCGGGCGUGAUCGCGUUCGCGGGCGGCUUCCACGGCCGCACGAUGAUGGGCAUGGCGCUCACCGGCAAGGUCGCGCCGUACAAGAUCGGCUUCGGCCCGUUCCCGGGCGACGUGUUCCACGCGCCGUACCCGAACGCGUUGCACGGCGUGACGAGCGCCGAUUCGAUCGCGGCCGUCGAAACGCUGUUCAAGGCCGACAUCGAUCCGAAGCGCGUCGCCGCGAUCAUCUUCGAGCCGGUGCAGGGCGAAGGCGGCUUCAACCCGGCGCCCGCCGAGUUCGUGCGCGCGCUGCGCAAGCUGUGCGACGCGCACGGCAUUCUCCUCAUCGCCGACGAAGUGCAGACGGGCUUCGCGCGCACGGGCAAGCUGUUCGCGAUGGAGCACUACGACGUCUCGGCCGACCUGAUGACGAUCGCGAAGAGCCUCGCGGGCGGGAUGCCGCUGUCGGGCGUCGUCGGCCGCGCGGACGUGAUGGACGCGGCCGCGCCGGGCGGCCUGGGCGGCACGUACGCGGGCAAUCCGCUCGCCGUGGCCGCCGCGCACGCGGUGCUCGACGUGAUCGACGAGGAGAAGCUCGCCGAGCGCGCGACCGUGCUCGGCGACAAGCUGAAGGCGAAGCUCGCCGCGCUGCGCGCCGAGCUGCCGCAGAUCGUCGACGUGCGCGGCCCGGGCGCGAUGGUCGCCGCGGAAUUCGUCGAUCCGCACACGCGCGCGUCCGAUGCCGCGUUCACGAAGCGCGUGCAGACGCUCGCGCUCGAGCGCGGGCUGCUGCUGCUCAUCUGCGGCGUCGACGCGAACGUGAUACGUUUCCUGUUUCCUCUCACCAUCGAGGAUGCCGUGUUCGACGAAGCGCUCGGCAUUCUCGAGAGCGUGCUGAGGGAAGCGGUGGGCGUGCCCGCCUGAGUCUUUCGCCGCCCGCGCGCGGGCGGCGCCAAUCGUUUCCGGAUACGGCCGACACUGAUGACUACAGCUCACGAAACCCUUGCACUGAAAGAUCCCGCGCUGUUGCGCGAGCGCGCGUUCGUCGCGGGCGAAUGGCAGGCCGCCGACGGCGGCGCGACGCUCGAGGUCCGCAACCCGGCGACGGGCGCGCUGAUCGGCACGGUGCCCGCGAUGGGCGCGGCCGAGACGCGCCGCGCGAUCGACGCGGCGAACGCCGCGUGGCCCGCCUGGCGCAAGAAGACCGCGAAGGAGCGCGCGGCGAUCCUGCGCAAGUGGCACGAUCUGAUGAUCGCGCACGCGGACGAUCUCGCGCUGAUCCUGACGACCGAGCAGGGCAAGCCGCUCGCCGAGGCAAAGGGCGAGAUCGGCUAUGCGGCGUCGUUCCUCGAAUGGUUCGCCGAGGAAGGCAAGCGCGUGUACGGCGAUACGAUCCCGACGCCCGCCGCCGACAAGCGGAUCGUCGUGACGAAGGAGCCGGUGGGCGUGUGCGCGGCGAUCACGCCGUGGAACUUCCCGGCGGCGAUGAUCACGCGCAAGGUCGGCCCGGCGCUCGCGGCCGGUUGCCCGAUCGUCGUGAAGCCGGCCGAGGCCACGCCGUUCUCGGCGCUCGCGAUGGCGGUGCUCGCCGAGCGCGCGGGCGUGCCGGCCGGCGUGUUCAGCGUCGUCACGGGCGAGCCGAAGGCGAUCGGCGGCGAACUCACGUCGAACCCGAUCGUGCGCAAGCUGUCGUUCACCGGCUCGACGCCGGUCGGACGCCUGCUGAUGGCGCAAUGCGCGGCGACGGUCAAGAAGGUGUCGCUCGAGCUCGGCGGCAACGCGCCGUUCAUCGUGUUCGACGACGCGGAUCUCGAUGCGGCCGUCGAGGGCGCGAUCGCAUCGAAGUACCGCAACAGCGGGCAGACCUGCGUCUGCACGAACCGCUUCUACGUGCACGAGAAGGUCUACGACGCGUUCGCCGAGAAGCUGACCGCGGCCGUCGCGAAGCUGAAGGUCGGGCCCGGCACCGAGGCCGGCGUCGUGCAGGGCCCGCUCAUCAACGGCGCGGCGGUGCGCAAGGUCGAAGCGCACAUCGCCGACGCGCUCGACAAGGGCGCGCGCGUGACGACGGGCGGCCAGCGCCACCCGCUCGGCCACGGCUUCUUCGAGCCGACCGUGCUGACGGGCGUCACGCCCGACAUGAAGGUCGCGAAGGAGGAAACGUUCGGCCCGCUCGCGCCGCUGUUCAGGUUCUCGACCGAGGAAGAAGCGAUCCGCUACGCGAACGACACCGAGUUCGGCCUCGCCGCGUACUUCUACAGCCGCGACAUCGGCCGCGUGUGGCGCGUGGCCGAGGCGCUCGAAUACGGGAUGGUCGGCAUCAACGCCGGAAUCAUCUCGAACGAGGUCGCGCCGUUCGGCGGCGUCAAGCAAUCGGGCCUCGGCCGCGAGGGCUCGCACUACGGGAUCGACGAUUACGUCGUGAUCAAGUACAUGUGCGUCGCGGUGUGAUGCGUGAGGUGUGAUGCACGAUGCGCGCCGCUCGC